Molecule: ribosomal RNA, 207 nt
Filed under: uncultured Eubacteriales bacterium
Lineage: Bacteria; Bacillati; Bacillota; Clostridia; Eubacteriales
Description: uncultured Clostridiales bacterium partial 16S ribosomal RNA
Rfam family: Bacterial small subunit ribosomal RNA
Source: RNAcentral
CGUGUAGGCGGGAUUGCAAGUCAGAUGUGAAAACUCGGGGCUCAACCUCGAGCCUGCAUUUGAAACUGUAGUUCUUGAGUGUCGGAGAGGUAAUCGGAAUUCCGUGUGUAGCGGUGAAAUGCGUAGAUAUACGGAGGAACACCAGUGGCGAAGGCGGAUUACUGGACGAUAACUGACGCUGAGGCGCGAAAGCGUGGGGAGCAAACA